GACGAACCGAGCGAACGUUGUUCGGAAUCACUGGGCUUAAAGGGCGCGUAGGCGGGUGCUCAAGUCCGGGGUGAAAUCCCACAGCUCAACUGUGGAACUGCCUCGGAUACUGGGCGUCUCGAGUGUGGUAGGGGUAUGCGGAACUAUCGGUGGAGCGGUGAAAUGCGUUGAUAUCGAUAGGAACUCCGGUGGCGAAGGCGGCAUACUGGACCACCGCUGACGCUGAUGCGCGAAAGCCAGGGGAGCAAACGGG
Molecule: ribosomal RNA, 253 nt
Filed under: uncultured bacterium
Lineage: Bacteria
Description: partial 16S ribosomal RNA
Rfam family: Bacterial small subunit ribosomal RNA
Source: RNAcentral